RNAcentral lists this ribosomal RNA (492 nucleotides) under uncultured bacterium. RNAcentral's name for it is "partial 16S ribosomal RNA". It matches the Rfam family "Bacterial small subunit ribosomal RNA", at positions 29 to 507 of the family's 1533-position model. The record is from RNAcentral.
AGUGAACGCUGGCGGUAGGCCUAACACAUGCAAGUCGAACGGCAGCACAGUAAGAGCUUGCUCUUACGGGUGGCGAGUGGCGGACGGGUGAGGAAAAUAUCGGAAUCUACUUUUUCGUGGGGGAUAACGUAGGGAAACUUACGCUAAUACCGCAUACGCCCUACGAGUGAAAGCAGGGGAUAUUCGGACCUUGCGCGAUUGAAUGAGCCGAUGUUGGAUUAGCUAGUUGGCGGGGUAAAGGCCCACCAAGGCGACGAUCGGUAGCUGGUCUGAGUGGAUGAUCAGCCACACUGGAACUGGAACACGGUCCAGACUCCUGCGGGAGGCAGCAGUGGGGAAUAUUGGACAAAGGGCGCAAGCCUGAUCCAGCCAUACCGCGUGGGUGAAGAAGGCCUUCGGGUUGUAAAGCCCUUUUGUUGGGAAAGAAAAGCAGCAGGUUAAUACCCCGCUGUUCUGACGGUACCCAAAGAAUAAGCACCGGCUAACUUCGUG